CCCUCCCUCUAGACCUCCUCUUCCCCAUUGCAGCAGUCUACUGAACUUUAUAACUAUAACUAGUAUAUUAGAAGCUACAAUAAUGAUAAGGGCAGAAAUUGUACUUAAAAGUGCAGGUCUUUAUGAUGUUUAAAAAAAAAAAACAGAACCCAAAAACUAUGGUGAUAGAUACAGGCUUCAUUUCAGACUGUAAAUGACUUGUCCUAUUCUGAUACUUGUUUCAAAUAUGUUUACUAACUAUUAAUAUUGUGUUGACUGCCUGACCAAAUUCGUUAAAGUUUUACACCAAAAUAUUCCUCCUCAGUCCUAUUUGCUAGUAACAUUUGCAUUGUGAUUGCCUGGCUAUAACCACCCCACAGGUAAACCAUUUUCAUCAUUAGUACUGCCAGCAGUAGUGGCAAACACUGUAAGUAAACUCCUGCAUAAAAAGCAUUAAUUGCAUACCUACCAUCCAUACAAACAAGAGUUUUUCAAACUUUAAACAUUAAGUGAAAUUAAUUUUCUAUACUGUGGCCAAGUUUAUUGAGAAAUUGUUUCAUAAAUGGAUAUCCCUACUAUGACU
Molecule: long non-coding RNA, 562 nt
Filed under: Bos taurus (domestic cattle)
Lineage: Eukaryota; Metazoa; Chordata; Mammalia; Artiodactyla; Bovidae
Description: long non-coding RNA NONBTAT009716
Source: RNAcentral